Molecule: ribosomal RNA, 167 nt
Filed under: uncultured Acidovorax sp.
Lineage: Bacteria; Pseudomonadati; Pseudomonadota; Betaproteobacteria; Burkholderiales; Comamonadaceae
Description: partial 16S ribosomal RNA
Rfam family: Bacterial small subunit ribosomal RNA
Source: RNAcentral
AAUUUUGGACAAUGGGCGCAAGCCUGAUCCAGCCAUGCCGCGUGCAGGAUGAAGGCCUUCGGGUUGUAAACUGCUUUUGUACGGAACGAAAAGACUCUUUCUAAUAAAGAGGGUCCAUGACGGUACCGUAAGAAUAAGCACCGGCUAACUACGUGCCAGCAGCCGCG